AACUUUAGAGGCAUUAAUUUCUUUCCCAAAAAAUUUCUUUUCCAAAAGGACUGUCCUAUGGCUAACAAGCACCUUUCAUUUAUCAGCAAGAUAGAAAUAAUACCCCUUAGUUUCUUUGGGAUAUCCUAUAAAAAUAUAUUUGUUAGACCUGACUUUGAGUUUAUCCAUUUUCAAAUGUUGGACAUAAGCUGGACACCCC
Molecule: long non-coding RNA, 199 nt
Filed under: Elaeis guineensis (African oil palm)
Lineage: Eukaryota; Viridiplantae; Streptophyta; Magnoliopsida; Arecales; Arecaceae
Description: long non-coding RNA (EGUI_LNC051804)
Source: RNAcentral